Molecule: ribosomal RNA, 249 nt
Filed under: uncultured Acetobacteraceae bacterium
Lineage: Bacteria; Pseudomonadati; Pseudomonadota; Alphaproteobacteria; Acetobacterales; Acetobacteraceae
Description: partial 16S ribosomal RNA
Rfam family: Bacterial small subunit ribosomal RNA
Source: RNAcentral
UGGGGAAUAUUGGACAAUGGGGGCAACCCUGAUCCAGCAAUGCCGCGUGUGUGAAGAAGGUCUUCGGAUUGUAAAGCACUUUCGACGGGGACGAUGAUGACGGUACCCGUAGAAGAAGCCCCGGCUAACUUCGUGCCAGCAGCCGCGGUAAUACGAAGGGGGCUAGCGUUGCUCGGAAUGACUGGGCGUAAAGGGCGCGUAGGCGGCGGCGUAAGUCAGCUGUGAAAUUCCUGGGCUUAACCUGGGGGC